Molecule: ribosomal RNA, 468 nt
Filed under: uncultured bacterium
Lineage: Bacteria
Description: partial 16S ribosomal RNA
Rfam family: Bacterial small subunit ribosomal RNA
Source: RNAcentral
GACGAACGCUGGCGGCGUGCUUAACACAUGCAAGUCGAACGGAAAGGCCCUGCUUUUGUGGGGUGCUCGAGUGGCGAACGGGUGAGUAACACGUGAGUAACCUGCCCUUGACUUUGGGAUAACUUCAGGAAACUGGGGCUAAUACCGGAUAGGAGCUCCUGCUGCAUGGUGGGGGUUGGAAAGUUUCGGCGGUUGGGGAUGGACUCGCGGCUUAUCAGCUUGUUGGUGGGGUAGUGGCUUACCAAGGCUUUGACGGGUAGCCGGCCUGAGAGGGUGACCGGCCACAUUGGGACUGAGAUACGGCCCAGACUCCUACGGGAGGCAGCAGUGGGGAAUAUUGCACAAUGGGCGGGAGCCUGAUGCAGCAGCGCCGCGUGCGGGAUGACGGCCUUCGGGUUGUAAACCGCUUUCGCCUGUGACGAAGCGUGAGUGACGGUAAUGGGUAAAGAAGCACCGGCUAACUACGUG